UGGGGACAGGGCCACAGGGCAGCACUCCCCUCUGCACAGCCUAUGGAGCGCUUGGGACUCAGCAACCCACAACAGCCUAUCCCUGGAACAUUUGACAUCUGCUUGUGGCUCAGCUCAAAACAGGGCAUCUACACUCAAUAAAAAGAUGGCAUCCAUGGAUAUUCACCGAUGCUUGCUGAAUGCUUAUGAAGACCAAACAAUGGAUGUGAGCAUAGUGAGGAGGAUACACCAGACAGCUCUUCUCUGAACACCAAGCCUCUGCUGCAUUCUAGAAGCACAUUUCCAGUUUCUCACCCAACGGCGACUCACCCUGUAUUUCCAAACAGACUUCACAAAUCUUUAGAUGCUGGAGUGGGCACUUUGACUGCAUUGAGGGUUCUCACAGAUGGUAGAGGAUACAGGUCUAGCUAGCUUUCAGUUAUGGACCCACAUGCUAAAACCACAACACUAUCUCUGUUGCCACAGUUAUACCUUUCCAAAUAAAAUUUUCAAAAGUCAUUAAAAGGCAAGAUCUUUUAUCUAUUUUAGGUCAAGAACUUAAGGUCUUAUAGCUCACUAGAAGCCAC
Molecule: long non-coding RNA, 566 nt
Organism: Numida meleagris (helmeted guineafowl)
Lineage: Eukaryota; Metazoa; Chordata; Aves; Galliformes; Numididae
Exons: 3
Source: RefSeq, a predicted model, not a curated record